GCAGUGGCACGUGCCUGUAGUCCCAGCCACUCAGGAGGCUAAGGCUGGAGGAUUGCUUAAGUCCAGGAGUUCUGGGCGAUAGUGUGCUAUGCCAAUUGGGUGUACGCACUGGGCGAUAGUGUGCUAUGCCAAUUGGGUGUACGCACUGGGCGAUAGUGUGCUAUGCCAAUUGGGUGUACGCACUAAGUUCGGCAUCAGUAUACUGACCUCCAGAGAGCAGGGGACCACCAGGUUGCUUAAGGAGGGCUGAACUGGCCUAGGCUGGAAACAGAGCAGGUCAAAACUCCCGUGCUGAUCAGUGGUAGCGCCUGUGAAUAACCACUGCACUCCAGCCUGGGCAACAUAGUGAGACCUCAUCUCU
This 361-nucleotide signal recognition particle RNA is filed under the name Saimiri boliviensis boliviensis (Bolivian squirrel monkey). Its description in RNAcentral is "Metazoan signal recognition particle RNA (ENSSBOG00000005746.1)". It matches the Rfam family "Metazoan signal recognition particle RNA". From Rfam's summary of the family: The signal recognition particle (SRP) is a universally conserved ribonucleoprotein. Lineage: Eukaryota; Metazoa; Chordata; Mammalia; Primates; Cebidae. The record is from RNAcentral.